CUCUUUCUUCAGUUGGAAACCCUGGACUGGUGUCUCGCAGUUCACUUUGGAGAUGUUACUUUCACUGGGAGUUUCAUGAUUUGUGUUUUAGCCAAAUCACUCUGAGACGCAGCACCAGAUCCAAGAUCAGCUUUCAUCGCAUUACUUUCAUCUUCCCCUGCAGUCACAUCCUGACCUUCACACCAACUCUGACACCCUCCGCUAUAAUGAGUUGGAGCUCAUGGCGAAAGCAGUAUUUGGCUUUCAUCUUUCUUUAAGAAGUGAGUGACAUAUCUGUCCCACAAACAUUAUUUCCAGUCAGCAUGGACGCUGCAGGAGCAGUUGCUAGGAGCAUUUACAUGCACACUGGCUCACUAUUAUUCAGAGGGUUGGAACCAGCCAAUGAAAACCUGUCCUUCAGAAUGUCACCGCAGUGAAACCAUCUAUCCAGUGAGGAGGGACAAAGGAAGGAAUGGUGCAUUUACCAACAGCAACCAAAUCCUGCAUGGUAUGCCCUUAUUUUCUGUCAGCACCAAACAGGAACAAGUGACUGUUUUUCUUUAAUUUGGAUAAAUGUACAGGAG
Molecule: long non-coding RNA, 563 nt
Filed under: Sparus aurata (gilthead seabream)
Lineage: Eukaryota; Metazoa; Chordata; Actinopteri; Spariformes; Sparidae
Description: lncRNA (ENSSAUG00010021459.1)
Source: RNAcentral